Molecule: unclassified non-coding RNA, 222 nt
Filed under: Hevea brasiliensis (rubber tree)
Lineage: Eukaryota; Viridiplantae; Streptophyta; Magnoliopsida; Malpighiales; Euphorbiaceae
Source: RNAcentral
GCUUGUUCAAAGAAUUGCUCCUGCAAAGCGGCUAUUUUUAAAUAUGGUUCUGAUUCUGCCAGAAGUUAUUGCUACUUGCCAAAUCAGAUAUUUUCACUGAUAAACAAUGAUAGGAGAGGAGUUCAUUAUAACACUACUGUAUAUUUAAAGGUGCAAAAUGCCUCAAAUACGGAAGCAAGAGUUCCUCAGCAGAAAAGGAAAAGCAGGUCGACAAUUAUACGG